GACGAACGCUGGCGGCGUGCUUAACACAUGCAAGUCGAACGGAAAGGCCCUGCUUUUUUGGGGUGCUCGAGUGGCGAACGGGUGUGUAACACGUGAGUAACCUUCCCUUGACUUUGGGAUAACUUCAGGAAACUGGGGCUAAUACCGGAUAGGAGCUCCUGCUGCAUGGUGGGGGUUGGAAAGUUUCGGCGGUUGGGGAUGGACUCGCGGCUUAUCAGCUUGUUGGUGGGGUAGUGGCUUACCAGGGCUUUGACGGGUAGGCGGCCUGAGAGGGUGACCGGGCAGAUUGGGAGUGAUAUACGGACGAGUCUCCGAUGGGAGGCAGCAGGGGGGAAUAUUACACCAUGGGCGGAAGAAUGAUGAAGCAACGCGGCGUGCGGUAGAACGGCCUUCGGGUUGUAGGCCGCUUUCGCAUGUGACGAAGCGUGAGUGACGGUAAUGGGUAAAGAAACACCGGCUAACUACGUG
Molecule: ribosomal RNA, 468 nt
Filed under: uncultured bacterium
Lineage: Bacteria
Description: partial 16S ribosomal RNA
Rfam family: Bacterial small subunit ribosomal RNA
Source: RNAcentral